CUUAGAUUCAAGAAAAAAGAGUCUCUGGCCUCCCUUACCUGAAACACAUGUACACACAAAACUGCCCUUAUAGCCAAAGGCUGACUGGUGAUGAACCCAGCAUGACUGUGUUUUCUGAUUAUGGUACCUGCAGGAAAUGGCUUUUAUUUGGAAGUCCACUUGCCCCAUUUCUCUAAGUAACCUCUGAUGCUUCUCCCUGCUGUGGCUGCCAACUUGGAUACUUUUACAGCCUUUUACUGAUUUUUAUUCUAAAGUAAACAACGAGUUUUCUUUCCAGUACAGGAGUGAAACAAUUUUAGGAAAUAUUAUGACCUGACUAAAAGGACACUGCCAUAUAAUAAUCAUUCUAGUAAAAGUAACAGAAAGGUUGGCAAUGAAGAAUAAGAUAGAGAGCAAGGAAUGGAGAAGACCAAUGACAUCUGGGCUGAUAUCUUGACUUGCGAGGCUGAGUUGCAUAAAGUUGUCAGUUUCUCUGUCUUCCAUAUAUCAUCAAAAUCAAGGGAACACUCUCAUGAGAAGACUUUAAAAGAAAUGAUGUGAAUAUCUCCAUAUCUCAAAAUCAGAAUUGGAAGAGACCUUAGAUAUAACAUUACAGAUGAAAAACUGAAAAUACAGAGAAGGUAAGCAAAUAUUAAACGGUGCACUGAGAUUCAAACUCAGGUUUUCUUUAAAUGAAGUAAGAAUUAAAGAAGCAACUGCAUCUUAAAAAGUGGUCUCAUACUCAAAUAGAAAUGCGGGCCACUAAAUUAUAUAUAAUAUGUAGUAUAUGUA
Molecule: long non-coding RNA, 771 nt
Filed under: Monodelphis domestica (gray short-tailed opossum)
Lineage: Eukaryota; Metazoa; Chordata; Mammalia; Didelphimorphia; Didelphidae
Description: lncRNA (ENSMODG00000044423.1)
Source: RNAcentral